CGAGUUGUAGUAUAGUUUGGUAUUAUAUCUGUUUUGGGAACAGAAGGUCAAAGGUUCAAAUCCUUUCAACUCGA
RNAcentral lists this transfer RNA (74 nucleotides) under Rhizaria sp. RNAcentral describes it as "tRNA-Pro". It matches the Rfam family "tRNA". Rfam says of the family: Transfer RNA (tRNA) molecules are approximately 80 nucleotides in length. The record is from RNAcentral.